UGGAUAAACUAGAUUUGUAGUCAAGGAAUCCCCAAUAGCAGUAGUUACGUGUAGCAAAUAAUCUAGUGGUUUAGGUUGAAUGCCCAAGUGACAAGCAAAAUAUUGUGAAACAAAAGAUAAGUUGGAACCAUGAUCAAACAAAACUUUUGCAUUUCUAUUAGAAACAUAUAGAAUACCUUCAACCACUGAUUUAGAGGCUCUGGAAUCUUAUUCUGUAAUAGCAUAUACUCUAGCAUGGGCUGUUGGCUUAGGG
RNAcentral lists this long non-coding RNA (253 nucleotides) under Musa acuminata (dwarf banana). RNAcentral describes it as "long non-coding RNA (MACU_LNC008266)". The record is from RNAcentral. Lineage: Eukaryota; Viridiplantae; Streptophyta; Magnoliopsida; Zingiberales; Musaceae.